UCACAAUUCUCAUAGGACGAUCUGAUGACUAAAUAGAGGACUCACGUAAAAUGCUGAGUCCAGUCCCGGGUAUGGAGCAGGGCUCGGGAACCUACAGAAAAUACCGAGUCCGGUCCCAGGUAUGGAGCAGAGCUCGGGAACUCACAUAAAAUACUGAGUCCAGUCCCGGGUAUGGAGCAGAGCUCGAGAAUUCACAGAAACUUCCGAGUCCAGUCCCAGGUAUGAAGCAGAGCUCCGGAACUCACAGAAAAUUCCGAGUCCGGUCCCAGGUGUGGAGCAGAGCUCGGGAACUCACAGAAAAUGCUGAGUCCGGUCCCAGGUAUGGAGCAGAGCUCGGGAACUCACAGAAAAUUCCGAGUCCGGUCCCAGGUGUGGAGCAGAGCUCGGGAACUCACAGAAAAUUCCGAGUCCGGUCCCAGGUGUGGAGCAGAGCUCGGGAACUCACAGAAAAUGCUGAGUCCGGUCCCAGGUAUGGAGCAGAGCUCGGGAACUCACAGAAAAUUCCGAGUCCGGUCCCAGGUAUGGAGCAGAGCUCGGGAACUCACAGAAAAUGCCGAGUCCCGUCCCAGAGAAGGCUCAGGAAGACCAUUG
This 591-nucleotide long non-coding RNA is filed under the name Homo sapiens (human). Its description in RNAcentral is "non-protein coding lnc-ERICH1-80:1". Lineage: Eukaryota; Metazoa; Chordata; Mammalia; Primates; Hominidae. The record is from RNAcentral.